UGGAGUGUUCAUAUGUCAGUAAUCUCCUCCUUCAUGUUGAUCACAUGGAUACACCAUUCUGACCUCAGUUGAUGUGAUCACAAUGUCCAGGUGCUCAACAGGAAGCUCUAUGACCAGUGAGGAGCAGUGGCAGAAACACAAAUGACAAAGAAUGAGAAGUAGUGAUGGCCAGUGGUGAAAGGUUGAUAGUCACUGUGUCCAUAUGGACAAUAGACCAGUAGGAAACAAACCCUAUCCAGCUGUUCAGAUGACUGUGAAGCCCACAGAUACUUUGGAGUUCACUGAAAAAUCCAGAUUGUGUCCCAACUUUGCUUAUCAUGGAGCAAAGUCGUGGGGCUGCUUUGAGUCUCAUUUGGGAAAGAUAAAGUAUAAAUAGAAGAAGUAGAAGUAGAAGUAGUAGUAAGGUUAAGGACUAAAACCAUCAUAAAGACUGCCAGCACUGGAUUCAGGCUCUGAGAAGUCCUACCUCACAUCUCCCCAUGGCAACAUGAGUGACUGCCUUGGCAGGGAUUCCCUGUAUAACUUCUUGACAGUAUGGGGGAAAGGAAGGGAAGAAGCAAAGAAAAAGAACAGAAGAGAAAAGAAGAAAAAGAAAAAAAGAGAAAGGAAAGAAAAAAGAGGAAGAAGAUGUAUGAGGGAAAGCAAGGGAAGAGGGAAAUAAAGGAAAAGAGAGAGAGGGAGCAAGUGUGUGAGUCAAUCGAAGAAGGAAAGAAAGAGCCACAAAGUCUGCUUAUUAGUGCCAAAAGUGUUGCCUUGGAGACAUUAUGAGGUAGGCCUUCUCAGAGCUGGAGAAGGGAGUAAGUAGCUGGGCAUAUACACUAGUAUACAUAUAUUUCAAUCUGUAUGCCGUUGGCAGAGCUCACUGUGUUUGGUUGUUUUACUUGUAAAGAACCAUGUACAUUGGUGGUGCUACAUAAAUAAAUGAUGAUAAUAAUAA
Molecule: long non-coding RNA, 937 nt
Organism: Anolis carolinensis (green anole)
Lineage: Eukaryota; Metazoa; Chordata; Lepidosauria; Squamata; Anolidae
Exons: 2
Source: RefSeq, a predicted model, not a curated record